Non-coding RNA from Caenorhabditis elegans, 21 nucleotides. NCBI's taxonomy places the organism in Eukaryota, Metazoa, Nematoda, Chromadorea, Rhabditida, Rhabditidae. The record is from Ensembl.
UCAAGGAACUAACGUUGGGAC